Molecule: ribosomal RNA, 481 nt
Filed under: uncultured bacterium
Lineage: Bacteria
Description: partial 16S ribosomal RNA
Rfam family: Bacterial small subunit ribosomal RNA
Source: RNAcentral
GAUGAACGCUGGCGGCGUGCUUAACACAUGCAAGUCGAACGAAGCACUUUAUUUGAUUUCCUUCGGGACUGAUUAUUUUGUGACUGAGUGGCGGACGGGUGAGUAACGCGUGGGUAACCUGCCUUGUACAGGGGGAUAACAGUUGGAAACGGCUGCUAAUACCGCAUAAGCGCACGGCAUCGCAUGAUGCAGUGUGAAAAACUCCGGUGGUAUAAGAUGGACCCGCGUUGGAUUAGCUAGUUGGUGAGGUAACGGCCCACCAAGGCGACGAUCCAUAGCCGACCUGAGAGGGUGACCGGCCACAUUGGGACUGAGACACGGCCCAAACUCCUACGGGAGGCAGCAGUGGGGAAUAUUGCACAAUGGGCGAAAGCCUGAUGCAGCGACGCCGCGUGAGCGAAGAAGUAUUUCUGUAUGUAAAGCUCUAUCAGCAGGGAAGAUAAUGACGGUACCUGACUAAGAAGCACCGGCUAAAUACGUG